RNAcentral lists this non-coding RNA (229 nucleotides) under Knoellia flava. Lineage: Bacteria; Bacillati; Actinomycetota; Actinomycetes; Micrococcales; Intrasporangiaceae. The record is from RNAcentral.
AUGGUGGCGACCGCAGCUGGUUCGGCGCCCAACCCAGGCGCGUCGAGGCAAGAGGGAACCCGGUGCAAGUCCGGGACUGCCCCGCAGCGGUGAGUGGGAACGACCGCCAUCCCUCACGGCAUACGCCGUGUCGGCAGCACUGCACCUGAUGGGUGUGGGAAGCGAUGGCCAGUAGGUGGCUCCGGCCAGGCCCAUGAGUCCGAAGACCUGCCAGCGCACCGUGCCCGCC